Molecule: ribosomal RNA, 449 nt
Filed under: uncultured bacterium
Lineage: Bacteria
Description: partial 16S ribosomal RNA
Rfam family: Bacterial small subunit ribosomal RNA
Source: RNAcentral
AACGAACGCUGGCGGCAUGCCUAACACAUGCAAGUCGAACGAGACCUUCGGGUCUAGUGGCGCACGGGUGCGUAACGCGUGGGAAUCUGCCCUUGGGUACGGAAUAACAGUUAGAAAUGACUGCUAAUACCGUAUUAUGACUUCGGUCCAAAGAUUUAUCGCCCAGGGAUGAGCCCGCGUAGGAUUAGCUUGUUGGUGAGGUAAAGGCUCACCAAGGCGACGAUCUUUAGCUGGUCUGAGAGGAUGAUCAGCCACACUGGGACUGGGACACGGCCCAGACUCCAACGGGAGGGGGCGGUGGGGAAUAUUUGACAAUGGGCGCAAGCAUGAGCCAGCAAUGCCGCGUGAGUAAUGAAGGCCUUAGGGUUGUAAAGGUCUUUAACCCGGGAAGAUAAUGACUGUACCGGGAGAAUAAGCCCCGGCUAAGUCCGUGCCAGCCGCCGCCGUAA